This 65-nucleotide transfer RNA is filed under the name Triticum aestivum (bread wheat). It matches the Rfam family "tRNA". From Rfam's summary of the family: Transfer RNA (tRNA) molecules are approximately 80 nucleotides in length. Their secondary structure includes four short double-helical elements and three loops (D, anti-codon, and T loops). Further hydrogen bonds mediate the characteristic L-shaped molecular structure. tRNAs have two regions of fundamental functional importance: the anti-codon, which is responsible for specific mRNA codon recognition, and the 3' end, to which the tRNAs corresponding amino acid is attached (by aminoacyl-tRNA synthetases). tRNAs cope with the degeneracy of the genetic code in two manners: having more than one tRNA (with a specific anti-codon) for a particular amino acid; and 'wobble' base-pairing, i.e. permitting non-standard base-pairing at the 3rd anti-codon position. Lineage: Eukaryota; Viridiplantae; Streptophyta; Magnoliopsida; Poales; Poaceae. The record is from Rfam by way of RNAcentral.
CACUGUUUAGUUGGCAAAGCACAAAGCUCUUAACCUUGUGGACGUGGGUUCAAGCCCCAUGGUGA